UCAAUUCCAGUUUCAUUUUUCUUUCUUAAAUUAAUUUUUACUAGAGUCAAAGGCUGUGAUUUCUAAGAACACAUCCACAUUUCACAAUAAGGUUCCUGCCCACCCUAGAGAUCAAAGCUGGCUGGGAAUUCUGCUUUUCAAAUGAACAGAGCCGCUAGACAUCAGACUGCACCCAAAUGAAGAUAAAAGGUGUCCUGGACAGAGACCACCUGACCGUGCUGCCCGCUGAGACCACUACCACUGCCACUCAUGCCUCAGUAAGAACACAGCUGAUGGGUCAAGCACCCACCAUCACCCCCAGCCAGACCUCGCCCUUCCUGACAGGACCAUUCCAGGGGAG
Molecule: long non-coding RNA, 340 nt
Filed under: Bos taurus (domestic cattle)
Lineage: Eukaryota; Metazoa; Chordata; Mammalia; Artiodactyla; Bovidae
Description: long non-coding RNA NONBTAT023001
Source: RNAcentral